GAUGAACGCUAGCGGCAGGCCUAACACAUGCAAGUCGAGGGGCAGCACAUAAAGUGGUUUACUACUUUUGGUGGCGACCGGCGGACGGGUGCGUAACGCGUGUGCAACCUGCCUCCAACAGGGCGAUAACGGAGAGAAAUUUCCAUUAAUACCCCAUAAUAUCAGAAUCGGCAUCGGUUUUGGUUGAAAACUCCGGUGGUUGGAGAUGGGCAUGCGUUGUAUUAGAUAGUUGGUGAGGUAACGGCUCACCAAGUCAACGAUACAUAGGGGGACUGAGAGGUUAGCCCCCCACACUGGUACUGAGACACGGACCAGACUCCUACGGGAGGCAGCAGUGAGGAAUAUUGGUCAAUGGGGGCAACCCUGAACCAGCCAUGCCGCGUGCAGGAAGACGGCUCUAUGAGUUGUAAACUGCUUUUACAAGGAGAUAAAUCGGUGUACGUGUACACCGUUGAAGGUACCUUGGGAAUAAGGAUCGGCUAACUCCGUGCCAGCAGCCGCCGUAA
RNAcentral lists this ribosomal RNA (506 nucleotides) under uncultured bacterium. Its description in RNAcentral is "partial 16S ribosomal RNA". It matches the Rfam family "Bacterial small subunit ribosomal RNA", at positions 28 to 523 of the family's 1533-position model. The record is from RNAcentral.